AUGUGCCGGCCCAGGCCCCGGCAGGGAGCGAGGCCUCGCGAAGGGCUCGCGCAGCCGCAGUCAGAUGUUCCGGGGCGGGGCGAGCCCCGCGGUCCUCGGCGGCCGCUGUUGCUCUGUGGAGGCGGGGGUGGCACGCUGAAUUUUUCAGUGUGGGAAAGGGAUGGUGGCUGUUGCCCUCCUCAGCAUGGAGCCCAUGACCUGCCCUGGGCAAGUUCAGACCCAACUCACACAUCUGCAAGCAGACUAGAAAUAGCCAAUCAGGCAUGGAUCAAUGGCCAUCAGACUCAGAACCCUCAGGAAAACUGGAAGAAAUUCUUCAGAGAUGACAAAGGCAAAGGUUUUCUACCUGAGCUUCAGGGUGGUCAGCACAACCUCACUUCUGCACUCAGCUCCUCAGCCAGGACAGAGAGAAAAAGGCAGAUUCACCAGAGGAGCUGGGACAUUCUUAUUUAUAAAUGAAGGAAAUGAAGAGGCCCCAACCAGAGCAAGUACAGAUUUUGUGAAAGAAUAAAGGCCUCGAGUAUGACA
This 528-nucleotide long non-coding RNA is filed under the name Vulpes vulpes (red fox). Its description in RNAcentral is "lncRNA (ENSVVUG00000005001.1)". The record is from RNAcentral. Lineage: Eukaryota; Metazoa; Chordata; Mammalia; Carnivora; Canidae.